CAGUCGCCACGGGAAUACGUAGGGUGCGAGCGUUAAUCGGAAUUACUGGGCGUAAAGCGUGCGCAGGCGGUUAUAUAAGACAGAUGUGAAAUCCCCGGGCUCAACCUGGGACCUGCAUUUGUGACUGUAUAGCUAGAGUACGGUAGAGGGGGAUGGAAUUCCGCGUGUAGCAGUGAAAUGCGUAGAUAUGCGGAGGAACACCGAUGGCGAAGGCAAUCCCCUGGACAAAGACUGACGCUCAGGUGCGAAAGCGUGGGGAGCAAACAGGAUUAGAUACCCCUGUAGUCCCUGUCUCUUAUAA
RNAcentral lists this ribosomal RNA (301 nucleotides) under uncultured bacterium. RNAcentral describes it as "partial 16S ribosomal RNA". It matches the Rfam family "Bacterial small subunit ribosomal RNA", at positions 509 to 809 of the family's 1533-position model. The record is from RNAcentral.